AUGAAGGGGAGUAGCAACAAUUUAUGGUUCAGAUUAGGAGCAGAGCAGGGGGCCAAGGAAGCAGCAGCAGCUAGAAGCUUCGAGUUCAGAGAAGGAGGGAAGUGGAGGAAGUGGAAGAGAUGGAGCAGCAGCGUGGGAUUGAGAAGAAGAGCAGCAGCAGCAGCGUUAGGGGAAGCAGAGGAGGAGGAGCAGAGAGAUGAACAGCGGCAGGGGCGUGGGAGAAGCAGCGAGGCAAGGGAAGGAGGAAGAAGAGAAGCAGCGAGGCAAGGGAAAGAGGAAGAAGAGAAGCAGCGAGGCAAGGAGAAUCGCGUGGGGCACCAGACGCCUCGUCUGGUCGGGCGCGCGAGCGUGGGGUGA
Molecule: ribosomal RNA, 357 nt
Filed under: Triticum aestivum (bread wheat)
Lineage: Eukaryota; Viridiplantae; Streptophyta; Magnoliopsida; Poales; Poaceae
Description: partial small subunit ribosomal RNA
Source: RNAcentral